RNAcentral lists this ribosomal RNA (478 nucleotides) under uncultured bacterium. RNAcentral's name for it is "partial 16S ribosomal RNA". It matches the Rfam family "Bacterial small subunit ribosomal RNA", at positions 28 to 523 of the family's 1533-position model. The record is from RNAcentral.
GACGAACGCUGGCGGCGUGCUUAACACAUGCAAGUCGAACGGUAAGGCCCUUCGGGGUACACGAGUGGCGAACGGGUGAGUAACACGUGGGUGAUCUGCCCUGCACUUCGGGAUAAGCCUGGGAAACUGGGUCUAAUACCGGAUAGGACUCCGGACUGCAUGGUCUGGGGUGGAAAGCUUUUGCGGUGUGGGAUGGGCCCGCGGCCUAUCAGCUUGGUGGUGGGGUGAUGGCCUACCAAGGCGACGACGGGUAGCCGGCCUGAGAGGGUGACCGGCCACACUGGGACUGAGAUACGGCCCAGGCUCCUACGGGAGGCAGCAGUGGGGAAUAUUGCACAAUGGGCGCAAGCCUGAUGCAGCGACGCCGCGUGAGGGAUGACGGCCUUCGGGUUGUAAACCUCUUUCAGCAUCGACGAAGCGAAAGUGACGGUAGGUGCAGAAGAAGGACCGGCCAACUACGUGCCAGCCGCCGCUGUAA